ACGGGGCAGAAGGACUAUGUUGUGAGCCUGCGAAAGAAGUUUGUGUGGGGACUGUGGGCAGUGAACGCGUUGGGAACAAUAUGGAAAACUGGGAGCUGCCUUGGAAUCUACAGGGCCGGGCUGAAGAAAAGAAGAAUGGUAUUCACGCAGUUCCCAUUUUACAGAUGAAAACAAGAGGACUUUUUCUGUGAAGUCAAGAAAGUGGUUACAAUGGUACUUUCAGCCUGUCCGAAUUAUGUAUUGCCCCUCCCCUUUUUAUUAAUAACAUUGAAGUGUGAUGGGAAAACCACUGAAGCCGUCAGUUGAAACCUGCUGGGACUUUUUAGCCAUUCUCUUCAACAUAAAGAAUGGGUGUUUUUGGAGGGGGUGAGAGGAAUGGGGAAAUGUUGUCAAAGAGUACAGUGUUUUAGUUGAGACAGGAAGAAUAUAUUUUGUUGAGAUCUACAGCACAGCAUGGUGACUGUAGUUAACAAUGAAGUAUUGUGUAUUUCAAAAUUGCUAAGACAAUAAAUUUCAAAUGUUCUCACCACAAAAAA
Molecule: long non-coding RNA, 536 nt
Filed under: Homo sapiens (human)
Lineage: Eukaryota; Metazoa; Chordata; Mammalia; Primates; Hominidae
Description: non-protein coding lnc-ANKRD20A2-1:21
Source: RNAcentral